AUAAUGGGUCAGCGACUUAUAUUCUGUAGCAAGGUUAACCGAAUAGGGGAGCCGAAGGGAAACCGAGUCUUAACUGGGCGUUAAGUUGCAGGGUAUAGACCCGAAACCCGGUGAUCUAGCCAUGGGCAGGUUGAAGGUUGGGUAACACUAACUGGAGGACCGAACCGACUAAUGUUGAAAAAUUAGCGGAUGACUUGUGGCUGGGGGUGAAAGGCCAAUCAAACCGGGAGAUAGCUGGUUCUCCCCGAAAGCUAUUUAGGUAGCGCCUCGUGAAUUCAUCUCCGGGGGUAGAGCACUGUUUCGGCAAGGGGGUCAUCCCGACUUACCAACCCGAUGCAAACUGCGAAUACCGGAGAAUGUUAUCACGGGAGACACACGGCGGGUGCUAACGUCCGUCGUGAAGAGGGAAACAACCCAGACCGCCAGCUAAGGUCCCAAAGUCAUGGUUAAGUGGGAAACGAUGUGGGAAGGCCCAGACAGCCAGGAUGUUGGCUUAGAAGCAGCCAUCAUUUAAAGAAAGCGUAAUAGCUCACUGGUCGAGUCGGCCUGCGCGGAAGAUGUAACGGGGCUAAACCAUGCACCGAA
This 585-nucleotide ribosomal RNA is filed under the name Escherichia coli. RNAcentral's name for it is "partial 23S ribosomal RNA". It matches the Rfam family "Bacterial large subunit ribosomal RNA", at positions 612 to 1198 of the family's 2925-position model. The record is from RNAcentral. Lineage: Bacteria; Pseudomonadati; Pseudomonadota; Gammaproteobacteria; Enterobacterales; Enterobacteriaceae.